GGUGAUUUUCGACUCAUUCCCGUUACAAACAGCCGACCUUCCUACCGAGUUCAAGUACCUUCUGCCUGGCCUGGAAGAACCGUAUCUCUCUGUCACCCUCUUCCUCUGGCCCUCACCUGCCCUCCCCUGAACAUGCAUUUUGCCUGAGAGGAGACAGAGGCGGUUGAGAUGGAGUCUUGCUAUAUGGCCCAGCUGGUAAUGCCUGGAUUCUUGAGUCCCUCCCUGGCUCAUCCCUGGGAGAAGCACCGAACCCCAUGUCUGACACCUGUCCGGAAAUGGAGCCUGCACAUUGACCCUAGGUGCUUGCAGCUUGGUCCAGGACGCCAGCGGGACCAGACAGAAGACCACAGCGACACGUGGGGAUGGCUGUUCCACAGGCAGAAAUGGGCAGCCAGGAGGAAGUCCGGGCAGCCAGCCACCCAGCUCCUUCCACAUCGUGGCCCUAGAACGGAGUCUUGAAGAAUAAGAAGCCACAGCUUGUCAGGGAAUCAGUCUGGAAAAAUGUUAUGAGACCAGAGGUAGGUAGGUUUGGGUACCAGCGAAACAGGGAAGGUGUGGCAGCAGGGAGCAGGGUGCUGGGC
Non-coding RNA from Macaca mulatta (Rhesus monkey), 581 nucleotides. The record is from RefSeq and is a predicted model, not a curated record. NCBI's taxonomy places the organism in Eukaryota, Metazoa, Chordata, Mammalia, Primates, Cercopithecidae.